RNAcentral lists this ribosomal RNA (477 nucleotides) under uncultured bacterium. RNAcentral describes it as "bacterial SSU rRNA". It matches the Rfam family "Bacterial small subunit ribosomal RNA", at positions 28 to 509 of the family's 1533-position model. The record is from RNAcentral.
GAUGAACGCUGGCGGCGUGGAUAAGGCAUGCAAGUCGAACGGACUUUAUUUUUCCAGAGAUGCGAUUACAUCAAAUCAAAGGUCGUUUAAAGUUAGUGGCGAACGAGGUAGUAAUACAUAGGAACUUCCCCCUAAGUCGUGAACAACUCACCGAAAGGUGAGCUAAUACACGAUAGUCUCUCCGGAGUAAAGUUUUUCGCUUAGGGAAAGGCCUGUGAAGUAUCAGCUAGUUGGCGGUGUAAAGGACCACCAAGGCCAUGACGCUUAGGGGAGCUGAGAGGCUGACCCCCACCGAUGGGACUGAGACACGGCCCAUACACCUACGGGUGGCUGCAGUCGAGAAUCUUCCGCAAUGGACGGAAGUCUGACGGAGCGACGCCGCGUGAUUGAUGAAGCUUUUCGGAGUGUAAAGAUCUUUUAUGAGGGAAGAAGUUUAUUGACGGUACCUCAUGAAUAAGGGGCUCCCAAUCUCGUGCC